CGCGUAGGUGGUGGGGUAAGUCGGAUGUGAAAUCCCCGAGCUCAACUCGGAAAUGGCAUUGGAAACUACCCUGCUAGAGGGUCGGAGGGGGGACUGGAAUGCUUGGUGUAGCAGUGAAAUGCGUAGAUAUCAAGCGGAACACCAGUGGCGAAGGCGAGUCCCUGGACGACUCCUGACACUGAGGCACGAAAGCUAGGGAGCAAACA
RNAcentral lists this ribosomal RNA (206 nucleotides) under uncultured bacterium. Its description in RNAcentral is "partial 16S ribosomal RNA". It matches the Rfam family "Bacterial small subunit ribosomal RNA", at positions 568 to 774 of the family's 1533-position model. The record is from RNAcentral.